CGGUGGAUAGCUCAGUUGGUAGAGCACCAAGAAUUGUGGGUUCGAGUCCCACUACACUUU
RNAcentral lists this transfer RNA (60 nucleotides) under Flavobacteriales bacterium. Its description in RNAcentral is "tRNA-Ser". It matches the Rfam family "tRNA". Rfam says of the family: Transfer RNA (tRNA) molecules are approximately 80 nucleotides in length. Lineage: Bacteria; Pseudomonadati; Bacteroidota; Flavobacteriia; Flavobacteriales. The record is from RNAcentral.